This 468-nucleotide ribosomal RNA is filed under the name uncultured bacterium. Its description in RNAcentral is "partial 16S ribosomal RNA". It matches the Rfam family "Bacterial small subunit ribosomal RNA", at positions 28 to 507 of the family's 1533-position model. The record is from RNAcentral.
GACGAACGCUGGCGGCGUGCUUAACACAUGCAAGUCGAACGGAAAGGCCCUGCUUUUGUGGGGUGCUCGAGUGGCGAACGGGUGUGUAACACGUGAGUAUCCCGCCCUUGACUUUGGGAUAACUCCAGGAAACUGGGGCUAAUACCGGAUAGGAGCUCCUGCUGCACGGUGGGGGUUGGAAAGUUUCGGCGGUUGGGGAUGGACUCGCGGCUUACCAGCUUGUUUGUGGGGUAGUGGCUUACCAAGGCUUCGACGGGUAGCCUGCCUGAGAAGGUGACCAGGCACAUUGGGACUGAGGUACGGCCCAGACUCCUACGGGAGGCAACAGUGGGGAAUAUUGCGCAGUAAGCGGGAGCCUGAUACGACAGCGCCGCGUGCGGGAUAACGGCCUUCGAGUUGAGAACCGCUUUGGCCUGUAACGAGGCGUGAGUGACGGUAAUGAGUAAAAAAGCAACGGCUAACUACGUG